RNAcentral lists this ribosomal RNA (109 nucleotides) under Camelus bactrianus (Bactrian camel). Lineage: Eukaryota; Metazoa; Chordata; Mammalia; Artiodactyla; Camelidae. The record is from RNAcentral. RNAcentral also lists the same sequence under 2 other names.
GUCUGUGGCCAUACCACCCCGAAGGCGCGGGGUCCGGGAAGCUAAGCAGGGUUAGGCCUGGUUAGUAUUUGGAUGGGGGACCCGCGGGAAAUGCUGGGUGCUGCAGGCU